Molecule: ribosomal RNA, 431 nt
Filed under: Panopeus americanus (narrowback mud crab)
Lineage: Eukaryota; Metazoa; Arthropoda; Malacostraca; Decapoda; Panopeidae
Description: partial 16S ribosomal RNA
Rfam family: Bacterial large subunit ribosomal RNA
Source: RNAcentral
CAAAGGUAGCAUAAUCAUUAGGGGUUUAAUUGGAACCUGGUAUGAAGGGUUGGACAAAGGAAAAGCUGUCUUUAUAUUGUAAGUUGAAAUUUACUUUUAAGUGAAAAGGCUUAAAUAAAUCAAAGGGACGAUAAGACCCUAUAAAGCUUUAUAAAUUAUUUAAAUUUGAUUGAUUUAAAAUGUAAAAAUUAAGUUUAUAUUAUUUUAUUUUGUUGGGGCGAUAUGGGUAUAAUUUUUAUUAACUGCUUAAGAAAAAUACAAAUUUAAAUGUGUAUAGAUUUAAAUGAUCCUUAUUAAAGAUUAAAAGACUAAGUUACUUUAGGGAUAACAGCGUUAUUUCUUUUGAGAGUUCAUAUCGAAAAAGAAGAUUGCGACCUCGAUGUUGAAUUAAAAUAUCUAUAUAAUGCAGCCGUUAUAAAAGAGGGUCUGUU